Molecule: ribosomal RNA, 424 nt
Filed under: uncultured bacterium
Lineage: Bacteria
Description: bacterial SSU rRNA
Rfam family: Bacterial small subunit ribosomal RNA
Source: RNAcentral
AUAUUGCGCAAUGGGGGAAACCCUGACGCAGCAACGCCGCGUGAGUGAGGAAGGUCUUCGGAUUGUAAAACUCUUUUCUUAGGGAAAAAUGUCUUGCGGGUUAAUACCCCGCAGGAGUGAUGGUACCUAAGGAAUAAGCACCGGCUAACUUCGUGCCAGCAGCCGCGGUAAUACGAAGGGUGCAAGCGUUAUUCGGAAUCAUUGGGCGUAAAGCGCGCGCAGGCGGAUUGAUAAGUCAGGUGUGAAAUCUCGGAGCUCAACUCCGAAACUGCGCCUGAAACUAUUAGUCUAGAAUGUCGGAGGGGGCAGGGGAAUUUCACGUGUAGGGGUAAAAUCCGUAGAGAUGUGAAGGAACACCGGAGGCGAAGGCGCCUGCCUGGACGACUAUUGACGCUGAGGCGCGAAAGCGUGGGGAGCAAACAGG